RNAcentral lists this ribosomal RNA (547 nucleotides) under uncultured Glomeromycotina. Its description in RNAcentral is "SSU rRNA". It matches the Rfam family "Eukaryotic small subunit ribosomal RNA", at positions 548 to 1098 of the family's 1831-position model. The record is from RNAcentral. Lineage: Eukaryota; Fungi; Glomeromycota.
UUGGAGGGCAAGUCUGGUGCCAGCAGCCGCGGUAAUUCCAGCUCCAAUAGCGUAUAUUAAAGUUGUUGCAGUUAAAAAGCUCGUAGUUGAAUUUCGGGGUUCUUCCGUUGGUCAGGCUAACCAGUCUGUACUAGCGUGUAGAAUUCCUACCUUCUGGGGAACCAUCAUGUUAUUAAUUUAGCGUGGUGGGAAACCAGGACCUUUACCUUGAAAAGAUUAGAGUGUUCAAAGCAGGCUUACGUCUGAAUACAUUAGCAUGGAAUAAUAAAAUAGGACGGUGGUCCUGUUUUGUUGGUUUCUGAAUCACCGUAAUGAUUAAUAGGGAUAGUUGGGGGCAUUAGUAUUCAAUUGUCAGAGGUGAAAUUCUUGGAUUUAUUGAAGACUAACUUCUGCGAAAGCAUUUGCCAAGGAUGUUUUCAUUAAUCAAGAACGAAAGUUAGGGGAUCGAAGACGAUCAGAUACCGUCGUAGUCUUAACCAUAAACUAUGCCGACUAGGGAUCGGACGAUGUUAAAUUUUAUUGACUCGUUCGGCGCCUUACGAGAAAC